This 530-nucleotide ribosomal RNA is filed under the name uncultured bacterium. Its description in RNAcentral is "bacterial SSU rRNA". It matches the Rfam family "Bacterial small subunit ribosomal RNA", at positions 370 to 883 of the family's 1533-position model. The record is from RNAcentral.
AAUGGCCGAAAGGCUGACGCAGCGACGCCGCGUGGGGGAGGAAGGGCUUCGGCUCGUAAACCCCUGUUGCCCGGGGCGAACAUCCUGUUUCGACAGGACUGACGGUACCGGGUGAGGAAGCACCGGCUAACUCCGUGCCAGCAGCCGCGGUAAUACGGAGGGUGCGAGCGUUGUCCGGAAUCACUGGGCGUAAAGGGCGCGUAGGUGGCGUGUCAAGCGCGCGGUGAAAGCCCGGGGCUCAACCCCGGGUCGGCCGUGCGGACUGGCAGGCUUGAGCACUGUAGGGGCGGGUGGAAUUCCGGGUGUAGCGGUGGAAUGCGUAGAGAUCCGGAAGAACACCGGUGGCGAAGGCGGCCCGCUGGGCAGGAAGGCUCGCAAGAGCCGGCUGACACUGAGGCGCGACAGCGUGGGGAGCAGACAGGAUUAGAUACCCUGGUAGUCCACGCCGUAAACGAUGGGCACUAGGUGCUUGGGGGAGCGACCCUCCGAGUGCCGGCGCUAACGCAUUAAGUGCCCCGCCUGGGGAGUAC